Molecule: ribosomal RNA, 483 nt
Filed under: uncultured bacterium
Lineage: Bacteria
Description: partial 16S ribosomal RNA
Rfam family: Bacterial small subunit ribosomal RNA
Source: RNAcentral
AUUGAACGCUGGCGGCAUGCUUUACACAUGCAAGUCGAACGGCAGCGCGGGCUUCGGCCUGGCGGCGAGUGGCGAACGGGUGAGUAAUGCAUCGGAACGUGCCCAGUAGUGGGGGAUAGCCCGGCGAAAGCCGGAUUAAUACCGCAUACGACCUGAGGGUGAAAGCGGGGGGCCGAAAGGCCUCGCGCUAUUGGAGCGGCCGAUGUCGGAUUAGCUAGUUGGUGGGGUAAAGGCUUACCAAGGCGACGAUCCGUAGCUGGUCUGAGAGGACGACCAGCCACACUGGGACUGAGACACGGCCCAGACUCCUACGGGAGGCAGCAGUGGGGAAUUUUGGACAAUGGGGGCAACCCUGAUCCAGCCAUGCCGCGUGCGGGAAGAAGGCCUUCGGGUGGUAAACCGCUUUUGUUCGGGAAGAAAUCCUCUGGGCUAAUACCCCGGGGGGAUGACGGGACCGGAAGAAUAAGCACCGGCUAACUACGU